Vicia villosa (hairy vetch) is the source of this 2536-nucleotide long non-coding RNA. RefSeq lists it as uncharacterized. The record is from RefSeq and is a predicted model, not a curated record. NCBI's taxonomy places the organism in Eukaryota, Viridiplantae, Streptophyta, Magnoliopsida, Fabales, Fabaceae. The transcript has 3 exons.
UAAUACAAGGCACUGCUUUGUUGUUAUCAGGAAGCCAAAAAUGCUAUCCCUUUCUUUCGUACGAUAGUCCCUCUUCUUCUUUCACGUUUUCUACUAAAAAUUCAAUCAACAAUACACAUCUAACACAUAAAACCAAAUACAAAUCUAAAGAAAACGAGAAGAGGAACCUACCAUGCGGUAGUUGGCCGGGAGUAGGCGCUUGGGUUCGUGAGUCUCGUCCGAACGGUGUUGCUGCGUCUCGGUGGUUCGGCGGAAUUUUUGUUCAUGAAAGGAUGAAGGUGAAAUUGGAGAUGGUGAUACGGUGUUGUGAUUUUACAUGGUACAAGUUGAUGGAGUUUGCAGGAAGGUUUGUAUUGUUUAUGGUAUUUGAACUUUGUGAAAAACAAGUUGUAUAUGGAGUUUAUGAAUAGUGGUCUUAUUUAAAUAGUUUUGAUGAUGUGAGUUUCUGUGUGAUGUUAAUAUCAAUGGUGUAAAGAGAUAUGAAGGUUAGUUAUGGUGUGAAGGUUUAGUUAUGAGGUUGAAUAUUGAAGCAUGGUGAUACAUAUCAACUACCUAACUAAAAAUCAACUACCUAACUAAGAAUGAGGAGUGCUACCAAACUCCCAAUUUUAUCCUUUAGGAGCUUUUCAUUUUGCAUUAUGAAAAGUCCUUUUUGAUAAUUCACUAAAUCCAUUUCUUUUAGCCAAUCAUAUUACUUGAAUCUUACAAGUGGCACCCCUUAUUUUCAAAUUUUAUUUGAACAUCUCUUUACCCGGGAAAAGCAUUAUAAUGUGUAUUAACCUUUUCAUAUAAUUUUUCACCUCUAUUCCUUUCAUUUCACACAUCUGUUUCUUUCUCCAAUACCAUAUGUGAAUCUUUCUUUCCAAACCCUAGAAGCGUUGGUGCAUUUUCGAAAUGGGAACAAAAAUGGUGGCUCAUGGAUUUGUUAAAGCAGGUUUGGUGAUGUUGUUGGUGUAACUGAGUUGUUGGAUGUUGAUGGAGAUCGCUAAUGGUUUAGUUGUGUUGCAUGUGACGAUUUGGUGAUGCUGAUGAACGGUUGUUGUUCGUGGCUCUAGUGUCGUUGCGAUUCAGAAUAGCUUCAUUCUCGCCGCUAUUGCCUGAGCACUCAGUGAGAUGAGUUUUUGCUGUUAUGGAUUAUUGCAACCAGUUCAAUUUGGCUCGGGUUUUCCUAUGCAUUUACUUUUUGUAUGGUGUUAGUGAACCGUUUUGUGUUGAGCUAAAACGGAUUAUCUUUUCUGCCAUGUUUCAGGGUGUUUUAGAAGACAUAAAUGAUGCAGAAGUUGGUUGUGCGUGUGUCAAACUCUGGGUUUAGCAACUUUAUUAAUGUGGCGGAGAAGCUGGUUGCGGUGUGUCAAACUCUAGGUUGAAGCAAUCAUCAGAGACCGUUGUUCUGUGGUGCUGUAGAGGGAGUCUUUGUUUGGCUCCCGUGUGUCAAACUCUAGGUUACCCUACUCAUGGGAUCACACGUUUUGUCAACUACCUUCUACGGAACAAAGUAGAUCAGAACUUAUGCUCAUUGCACAAAUAAGUUUAAAUUUUAUUCGUGGAUGAAUUAACAACAUGGAUUGUGACAAGGAGUUCCUGUUGCCGUAGCUCUGAUGGGAAGAAAAAUCAAGACCAACCAUUGUGAGAAUUUUGCUAAGGGGUCUUGCACGCUCGGAGUAAGUUGACUCUAUUAAAGUUAGAAAGUUAUGUAACAUGUAGAUGAUUAAAUUAAACAUAAGUUGACAAAAUAGGUUAGUUUGAAGAAGUCGGAAGCAUUAUCAAAUUUAACGUAUCUUAUCUAGCCUCCCUUAACAGAGCUAAUCAUUGUCAAAUGCCCAUUUAUUUAGAUUAUUAAAUUUGGAAAUGAUGAAGCUAUCUAUGUUUCAAUUUCUCAAGUUUCGAAAAAUUGAAGAUGAUUGUGGAACUACUGUGUCAGAACUGAAAUUGCAACCUGUUGUCAUACCCCAAAAUUUGCCCUCUUAUAUUCAAUCAAAGGGGCUUCUAUACAUCUUCAAUGGUUCAAGUUUCAAUGGCUUAUUCAGGUCACUCUCUCAUACAUCAAACUUCAAUCCCAAGGUUCAAAUGAUCCAUAAUCGGCUAUGUUGACCUAAAAGUCAACUAUAGUCAAAGUACAGUCAAACUUCGAGAUUUUUGGUCAACAUCAAGUAUGUGAGGGUAUAUCAAUCAUUUGAUCAAAGAUUGAUCAUGAUUUAUCAGUAGGAACUCAGAGAUGAACAAAUACAAAAAGGUUCAAAUUAGGGUUUCUCAAGGAGAAAGUCAACUCAACUUUGACUGGCCAUAACUUUCACAUGGAACAUCGAAAAUUCCCCACUCAAAGCCUAUUUGGAAGGAAAUUGGAUUAUCUACAACUUUGUCUCUCACAAGCCAAGGCUAGAAAUGCAUCAUUCAAGAGAUAUGGUCAAAGAGAUUAUAGGUCCUCCAAAAAGUCAACAAAAACACCUUUUUGGGUCAAAGCUCAUAACUUGAGCAUAGAAGCUUCAACUGAGAUGAAACCAAAGGCAUCAUUUAUAUGACUCUUCAAGCUUUCCAA